RNAcentral lists this ribosomal RNA (503 nucleotides) under uncultured bacterium. RNAcentral's name for it is "partial 16S ribosomal RNA". It matches the Rfam family "Bacterial small subunit ribosomal RNA", at positions 30 to 523 of the family's 1533-position model. The record is from RNAcentral.
AUUGAACGCUGGCGGCAGGCUUAACACAUGCAAGUCGAGCGGGGUGAUGGUGCUUGCACUAUCACUUAGCGGCGGACGGGUGAGUAAUGCUUAGGAAUCUGCCUAUUAGUGGGGGACAACAUCUCGAAAGGGAUGCUAAUACCGCAUACGUCCUACGGGAGAAAGCAGGGGAUCACUUGUGACCUUGCGCUAAUAGAUGAGCCUAAGUCGGAUUAGCUAGUUGGUGGGGUAAAGGCCUACCAAGGCGACGAUCUGUAGCGGGUCUGAGAGGAUGAUCCGCCACACUGGGACUGAGACACGGCCCAGACUCCUACGGGAGGCAGCAGUGGGGAAUAUUGGACAAUAGGGGGAACCCUGAUCCAGCCAUGCCGCGUGUGUGAAGAAGGCCUUAUGGUUGUAAAGCACUUUAAGCGAGGAGGAGGCUCUUUUGGUUAAGACCCAAGAUGAGUGGACGUUACUCGCAGAAUAAGCACCGGCUAACUCUGUGCCAGUCGCCGCGGUAA